This 767-nucleotide long non-coding RNA is filed under the name Panax ginseng (ginseng). RNAcentral describes it as "long non-coding RNA (PGIN_LNC011019)". The record is from RNAcentral. Lineage: Eukaryota; Viridiplantae; Streptophyta; Magnoliopsida; Apiales; Araliaceae.
GCUAAAGCAUGUAGCUAAAUGCGAGACAGCACAUCUCCCUUAUUUACUUUAUGAAAACUUUUUUAUUUUCCAAGAAAAAUAAUUAAUUUAGAAAUAUAUUAAAAUUUUUGAAUUUAUAUUUUUAAUGAAGUUUAAAAUCCAAUUUGAAUCUUUUACCACAAACUUUUAUUCAAAACAUUUAAAAUUGUAACUUUUAUGUAAAACAUUCAUCAAAAACAAGGGGGAAUAAAACAUGAUUUCCAACCACAUAUGGGUAUUGAAGGUACUCAUUUUAAUAAAGCUUUUAAUACUCAUUUUCUGCACCUAGCCUCCCCUACAAAAGGCUAUUUUAUUGAAGGUACUUUGAAGACUGGUGAUAUUAAAGGCUAUUUAAAUUUUCAAAUUAUCCUUUAUAAGACCUCAACCCGAAGUUCUUUUUAAGGUUAGGUAUUUAUAACAAUUUUUCGUUACGUCGUGUCUUACUCUCCUUAAACUAUAAAGUAUUUUUUCAAAGAUAUAACCAUCCAAAAUCUUUCGUUAAGCAUCACCAAAAUCAAGUAAUUUUUUUCUACUUGUUAGUGCUCCAAAGUCAAUAUAAGUCAUCACCAAAAUCAAGUCAAUAAAAUAAAUUGCAAAUAAGACCAGGGCAGUCAUUAACACCAUGUAUUCAGGGCUUCAUUUUCAGGGUAGGGCUUACAGAAGCAGAGCAGUAAUAUUCAGGCAGUGUAAAAAUUCCUUCAAGAAUGCCACUAACUUCUAGUUUUAGGCGCUGUUUUUUUACAUCUGAU